Ctenopharyngodon idella (grass carp) is the source of this 1174-nucleotide long non-coding RNA. RefSeq lists it as uncharacterized. The record is from RefSeq and is a predicted model, not a curated record. NCBI's taxonomy places the organism in Eukaryota, Metazoa, Chordata, Actinopteri, Cypriniformes, Xenocyprididae. The transcript is spliced from 4 exons.
CUCAGUUCAUAGACAGACAGACCCGCCCCAUUCAGUACAAAGUAGACCCUUGUACACAUGUGCUGGGCCUGGGCAACUGAAUCCAUAGAUGAAGAAGUUCUGAAGCGACAGGUGGUGAUUGAUCGCUUUUCAUCCUUGGUCAAAUCCUGCGCUGGAGAAGAAAUAGGUUGAACACGCACGUGUCGGCGUUAUGUCUCGGGGUGGCUCAUUCCAGCUCAUGCAGACUUUAAGGAAAUCUCCAGCUGUUUUCCGCUGCCGUUUCCGGCAGGACCGCACCCAGACCCUCUCACACGGCGACCCGCUUUUCAAAGUGCACUACCUUGGUACAGAAAAGAUCUAUUCCCUGGAUGUAGAACAAGCUGAGGAGGCCAUAGGUCGGUUACUUGAGAAAUCACCAGACAUGGCCACCCUAGGCAAACUUGGCAAGGAGCACGCUCUCGUUGUCCGACCUCACUAUGUAGAGGUGAAGGAGAUCAGCACGGGCAGACAGCUCACUAAGACCUAUCUAAAAGACAUUGCAUAUUGUGCAGCUGAUGCAAGCAGACCAAAUCUUUUCCUCUAUAUCUUUAAGCAGCAAGGCCAGCAGCUGCAGUGCAGAGUGUUCUGGUGUAACAGACCUGACCGGGCAAAAGAUAUGACCGCAUGCUUAGCUAGAUCUUUUCAGAAGGCUCUGAAUGAAUUACAAGAGGAGACCAGUCACGCUAAAGGAGAAGAUAGUGAGAAGGAUGGAAAGCCAAUUGCAGCAAUGGGACAUAGCAAAAACUCAACACUAACAGCAGACUUGAGAGAAGGGCGGUGGCGGAGAAAGCAUUUGAGAGAGUUGAUGAGGAGAACCAGUAUCAGACAUGUCACUGACAUAUGAGACAGUGUUAUAUGGGAGUGUUACAAGUUCUUAAAUGCAGUCAGGGGAUUUCUUGUACCUAGAAUCUGUUGCAUUAGGAAAGUGGCAAACAUUGCAACAUGAGCUUUCAAAUAAAGCCAGCUUUACUCUUGUUGCCCAAUAGACCAUGCAGUUUCUAGUUAAAAUGUAUUUGCUCAAAAUAUUUUUCUACUAGGUCUUCUAGCACACAGAACAUUUUGUUUACACAUUUUUUUUUUUUUUUUUUUGAAAGAAUUAUUCAUCUUUAUGCUUGUAAUUGACUGCUUUUCCUAAAAUUAAACCAGUUUCACUGGG